AUAGUGAAAUCUUCAAAGAGGUGAUUAUAUUUUACCAUUUCAAGCACCAGAAGAACUAUUGUGUGUGUGUGUGUGUGUAUAAAUAAAAUAAAAUAAAGUGGAGGCAAUGAGGUGGCAAUUACACAAGGAAUGCAACUAGAAGGCCUGCGAAGUGAUUCAGCUAUGAGAGUGACAUUCAGUGAUGAAAUGGGAUUUUUAGAAGUACGGUUCUCCACAAAGAAAUAAUAUAUUGCAGGCACAUCAGCAUCUGAAAUGUCGACCUCUCUUUCAAAUUUCAUACAACUCAAAAAACAUUGUACACAUUAACACCAUACUAUAUAGGCAAGGUUUAAAAACAUGUUAGUGCAUCAAUACAUCAACAUAAUAAUAAAGCAAAUCCAUAUAUUCAACCAUAAGUUUUACAAAGCAAUAAAUUAAGCAAAGGCAUACAAGGUAUAUAAACAACAGACAAAGUUUAACUUUGUAAAGAAGGAUCAUUGCACAAAUCACCAGUUGAAUAUCCGUAAGAAAAAGUGAAGGUGAAUGUUCAUAAACUCCAUCUUUCAUCCU
Molecule: unclassified non-coding RNA, 549 nt
Filed under: Hevea brasiliensis (rubber tree)
Lineage: Eukaryota; Viridiplantae; Streptophyta; Magnoliopsida; Malpighiales; Euphorbiaceae
Source: RNAcentral